RNAcentral lists this long non-coding RNA (1782 nucleotides) under Taeniopygia guttata (zebra finch). Its description in RNAcentral is "lncRNA (ENSTGUG00000022319.1)". The record is from RNAcentral. Lineage: Eukaryota; Metazoa; Chordata; Aves; Passeriformes; Estrildidae.
CACAGGCAUUCAAAGGGCUGGAGAAGUUGUCCUGCUUUGCAUGCUCAGAGGAAGGGGAGCAAUAUGCAGGGCAGAAGGGCUUCCCAAUCCAGAUGGGGAUGCACAUGCCUUGGAGCACCUGCUGCCCCGUGCUGCACACAGGAGCAAGCUCCUCUUCUCCCACCCACCUGUGCUGUGCAAGACUUGGCCUUCCACAAGGGAGCUGUGAUGCCCACAUCUUCCUAACUGUGGCAGCAGCAGCCUUCACCUCUGCAGAGCCCAGCCAAGGCAGCUCCUCCGUGUGGUGCCAGCAGGGAGGUUCCUGUGCUGGUCCAGCUACAGCCCUGGGCAAGGUGAGGUGCAAAGGCAUAGGGAGGGAAGGGAAGUGGAUGGGACAGAACAUGAGCUUAGGGUGACCCCAGAGAGGGUCACACAUAGCCAUGGCAGUACAGGAGCUGCCAGAUGGAGCUGACAGAGCUGAAGUCAGCCAGUGUCACAUUCAGGCUUGGGAUUGAGACCAGGCCCCAUGAGGGGGAGAGAAGAAUGUGAGGGACACAGUGCCUGCCAGCACUGUGGAGUACCUGUGCCAUGGCCAGAAUCCCCCCACUGAGAGUACUGAUGGGAGUGAUGCUGUCCUGUCCCCAAAACAGAGGAUAUGAGAUGGCACAUCCCAAACCCCUUGUCAUAUCAAUGUUCAGGAGAAAGAAGUGCUCUUUGGGCAGCAAAGAGGGUUGCAGCAAAGAAACAGCCUGUGUUUUCACCAGGCAGGGACAUUCCAGUCUAAGGCUGGGAUCCUCUGCAUCCCCUCCGCAAAGGCUGUUUUGUCCCUGGGGGCAAAAGUUCUCUCCACUUGUGGCAGGAGGUGUUACUUUGUGUGGCCACAUAGCCCUUUGUCUCUGAGAAAAUUGCAAAACCCUGAGCUUCGCUGCAGCUCCAAGAAGCUCAGAAAGAGAGAACCUGCUGGAAGGCAGACGCCCACGUCGGCGCUGGGCCAGCCGAACCUUCCAGGCUGUUACGCAGCCCCACAGCUGCUUGGCAAGGACACUGCCGACCCUCCCACAUCACAGCCCCAAGCAGCCUGGGCCGGCUGCGGCCAGGCACUGGGCUGGGAUUGCUGUUUUUCUGCUUUAUCAGGAUCUUGCUGAGCUUGGCGAGAACAGCAUGUCCCAAACAGCCGGGGGCAGGAUGGGGCUCACUGCCGCUGCUGCUGCCUUUUGCCCAAGCUCUGUCUGUCCCCGCUGGAGAGGUGCAGGCACCAAAAGCUGCACUGCCACUGUCACCUCUGCACACAUGCACGAGCCAUGAUGCCACAAGCUGGGGCCCAGAGACAGCAGCGUUCCUGUGUCUGCUGCCGUAUGUCUCUCUUCCUCUUGCCACUGUCUCCAUCCCAAGUGCAGGUUCCCACACAGCAGCAGACCCCUGCACGUGCCCGUUCCCAGGAUCUGCUCCCAGCAGGACCCUCAGCAAGUGCAUCCCAUCACUCUGUCGCUGUCUCACAGUGGCCCACAGUGUGGCCCACAGCGCCUUGGGCCAGUACCCGCUGUCCUGGAGGCUGAAGGGACAUGGGAAGGGGACCCUGAUCAGUCAGAGCAGUGGUGCUGCUCCAUCACAGCCCAGCUGGGCUGGGACAGCCACCAUGCACAGCACAGGGCAGCAGCCAGAUGGGAAAUGGAAUGAGCAGCCCACCUCUGCUGCUGCUAGCCCAGACAGCAGCAGGAUAAGCAAGGAAGCAUCAGGGUGACAACAGAGGCAUGUCCAGGUGUCAGCAAAAGACAAGAAGAAAGGGAGGAAAGAGAAACGAAG